AAAUGGAAUGAGAAGAAAGACUACCACAUUCUGCAGGAAGUGUUCAAUGUCACCCGAGGUACAACACUUCCCCUGGAUGUGUGGGAUGGCUGGAAAGACUGCUUGACUGCAUGUCUCUUAGGAAACAAAGUACAGCAUUAUCUGCCUGAGGAAAAGCCAGUACUUAAGUAUGCUAAUGGAACUGAUGGAAACAAACGAUGUGGAGAUCCUAACCCAGUAGUGGUUUCGCACAUUAAAAUCUGUGCUGAGUUCAGACUACUUCUGUCAAAAACGCUGUCUCUCCAGCAGUUGUGUAUGACUGAUAGCUCAUGGCAGUAUCACACGAUCCUUUGCAUAACAUUUCGAAACUCAAGCAUAAAGCGUGAGCAGCUAUGGAAUUCCUCAAGCUACGUGAACAGGUGCAUCUUCCGGCGAUCCGUUAAAGGCUUUUACUAG
RNAcentral lists this long non-coding RNA (435 nucleotides) under Struthio camelus australis. RNAcentral's name for it is "lncRNA (ENSSCUG00000000807.1)". The record is from RNAcentral. Lineage: Eukaryota; Metazoa; Chordata; Aves; Struthioniformes; Struthionidae.